AACGAACGCUGGCGGCAGGCCUAACACAUGCAAGUCGAGCGAGGACUUCGGUCCUAGCGGCGGACGGGUGAGUAACGCGUGGGAACGUGCCCUUUGCUUCGGAAUAGCCCUGGGAAACUGGGAGUAAUACCGGAUGAGCCCUUUGGGGGAAAGAUUUAUCGGCGAAGGAUCGGCCCGCGUUGGAUUAGGUAGUUGGUGGGGUAAUGGCCUACCAAGCCGACGAUCCAUAGCUGGUUUGAGAGGAUGAUCAGCCACACUGGGACUGAGACACGGCCCAGACUCCUACGGGAGGCAGCAGUGGGGAAUCUUAGACAAUGGGGGAAGCCCUGAUCUAGCCAUGCCGCGUGAGCGAUGAAGGCCUUAGGGUUGUAAAGCUCUUUGAGCUGGGAAGAUAAUGACGGUACCAGCAGAAGAAGCCCCGGCUAACUCCGUG
Molecule: ribosomal RNA, 433 nt
Filed under: uncultured bacterium
Lineage: Bacteria
Description: partial 16S ribosomal RNA
Rfam family: Bacterial small subunit ribosomal RNA
Source: RNAcentral